CGCGGCCUAUCAGCUUGUUGGUGGGGUAACGGCCUACCAAGGCAUCGACGGGUAGCUGGUCUGAGAGGACGAUCAGCCACACUGGGACUGAGACACGGCCCAGACUCCUACGGGAGGCAGCAGUGGGGAAUAUUGCGCAAUGGGCGAAAGCCUGACGCAGCAACGCCGCGUGGGGGAUGAAGGCUUUCGGGUUGUAAACCCCUCUCAGUGAUGACGAAAAUGACGGUAAUCACAGAAGAAGCCCCGGCCAACUACGUGCCAGCAGCCGCGGUAACACGUAGGGGGCAAGCGUUGUCCGGAUUUAUUGGGCGUAAAGAGCUCGUAGGCGGUUGCGUAAGUCGGACGUGAAAACUCAGGGCUCAACCCUGAGAUGCCGUUCGAUACUGCGCUGACUAGAGUCCGGUAGGGGAGCAUGGAAUUCCUGGUGUAGCGGUGAAAUGCGCAGAUAUCAGGAGGAACACCAGUGGCGAAGGCGGUGCUCUGGGCCGGAACUGACGCUGAGGAGCGAAAGCAUGGGUAGCAAACAGGAUUAGAUACCCUGGUAGUCCAUGCCGUAAACGUUGGGCACUAGGUGUGGGACCUACUUAACGGGUUCCGUGCCGUAGCUAACGCAUUAAGUGCCCCGCCUGGGGAGUACGG
This 639-nucleotide ribosomal RNA is filed under the name uncultured bacterium. Its description in RNAcentral is "bacterial SSU rRNA". It matches the Rfam family "Bacterial small subunit ribosomal RNA", at positions 232 to 885 of the family's 1533-position model. The record is from RNAcentral.